Long non-coding RNA from Notothenia coriiceps (black rockcod), 406 nucleotides. RefSeq lists it as uncharacterized. The record is from RefSeq and is a predicted model, not a curated record. The transcript has 4 exons. NCBI's taxonomy places the organism in Eukaryota, Metazoa, Chordata, Actinopteri, Perciformes, Nototheniidae.
GCUCCCUGCAGACCAGAGGAGGCUGGUGAAGGAUAAGCUGUUUCCUCAGGCCAUCGAUUACCUGCAGAAGGUGUUCAGCGUCCGGAGGCGUGUCGGCCCGGUUCUGCUCAGCAGACAAUGCUCCACCAAUCAGUACCUGAGGAAGAGAGAUGACCCUCACAGGUACUGCCAGGACGCCUGCGCUGACCUGACCCGCUGUGGCCCCGUCAGCGUGCCACAGCACCACCUGCAGCAAUGCAAGGUGUGCAGUGAGUCGGGGAAGUCGUGCGGUCCCAUCGGGCCUCCGGACGGUCCCGGGGUCGAGGGGUCGGACUUCGUUCUGUACGUCAGCGGCGUCACAACGGAGCGCUGCGGGCAGGAGAACAUCGUGGCCUACGCUGCAUACUGCCAGCUGGAGGCAGAGCUC